UACGGGGGGAGCAAGCGUUGUUCGGAUUUACUGGGCGUAAAGAGCUCGUAGGCGGUUUGUCGCGUCGGCUGUGAAAACCUGGGGCUCAACCCCGGGCCUGCAGUCGAUACGGGCAGACUAGAGUGCGGUAGGGGAGACUGGAAUUCCUGGUGUAGCGGUGAAAUGCGCAGAUAUCAGGAGGAACACCGGUGGCGAAGGCGGUUCUCUGGGCCUUACCUGACGCUGAGGAGCGAAAGCGUGGGGAGCGAACAGG
RNAcentral lists this ribosomal RNA (253 nucleotides) under uncultured bacterium. Its description in RNAcentral is "partial 16S ribosomal RNA". It matches the Rfam family "Bacterial small subunit ribosomal RNA", at positions 524 to 776 of the family's 1533-position model. The record is from RNAcentral.